This is a non-coding RNA of Caenorhabditis elegans, 140 nucleotides long. NCBI's taxonomy places the organism in Eukaryota, Metazoa, Nematoda, Chromadorea, Rhabditida, Rhabditidae. The record is from Ensembl.
GCUUAGGAUUAGGCUUGGGCUUAGGCUUAGUCUUAAGCUUAAGCUUAGGCUUAGGAUUAGGCUUGGUUGGGCUUAGGCUUAGGCUUAUCCUUGGGCUCAGGAUUAGGCGUAGGUUUAAGCUGAAGCUUUGGCUUAGGAUU